This 643-nucleotide ribosomal RNA is filed under the name uncultured Actinomycetes bacterium. RNAcentral's name for it is "bacterial SSU rRNA". It matches the Rfam family "Bacterial small subunit ribosomal RNA", at positions 232 to 885 of the family's 1533-position model. The record is from RNAcentral. Lineage: Bacteria; Bacillati; Actinomycetota; Actinomycetes.
CGCGGCCUAUCAGCUUGUUGGUGGGGUAAUGGCCUACCGUGGCGAUGACGGGUAGCCAGCCUGAGAGGGUGACCGGCCACACUGGGACUGAGACACGGCCCAGACUCCUACGGGAGGCAGCAGUGGGGAAUAUUGCACAAUGGGCGAAAGCCUGAUGCAGCGACGCCGCGUGCGGGAUGACGGCCUUCGGGUUGUAAACCGCUUUCAGCAGGGAAGAAGCGCAAGUGACGGUACCUGCAGAAGAAGCGCCGGCUAACUACGUGCCAGCAGCCGCGGUGAUACGUAGGGCGCGAGCGUUAUCCGGAAUUAUUGGGCGUAAAGAGCUUGUAGGCGGUUUGUCGCGUCUGCUGUGAAAGCCCGGGGCUUAACCCCGGGUGUGCAGUGGGUACGGGCAGACUAGAGUGCAGUAGGGGAGACUGGAAUUCCUGGUGUAGCGGUGAAAUGCGCAGAUAUCAGGAGGAACACCGAUGGCGAAGGCAGGUCUCUGGGCUGUUACUGACGCUGAGAAGCGAAAGCAUGGGGAGCGAACAGGAUUAGAUACCCUGGUAGUCCAUGCCGUAAACGUUGGGCACUAGGUGUGGGGGACAUUCCACGUUUUCCGCGCCGUAGCUAACGCAUUAAGUGCCCCGCCUGGGGAGUACGG